UACGGAGGGUGCAAGCGUUAUCCGGAUUUACUGGGUUUAAAGGGUGCGUAGGCGGAUUUGUAAGUCAGUGGUGAAAGCCUGGAGCUCAACUCUGGAAUUGCCAUUGAUACUGCAAACCUUGAGUACAGUUGAGGUGGGCGGAAUACAUCAUGUAGCGGUGAAAUGCUUAGAUAUGAUGUAGAACACCGAUUGCGAAGGCAGCUCGCUAAACUGUAACUGACGCUGAGGCACGAAAGCGUGGGGAGCGAACAGG
This 253-nucleotide unclassified non-coding RNA is filed under the name uncultured Chitinophagales bacterium. RNAcentral's name for it is "contains 16S-23S intergenic spacer region". It matches the Rfam family "Bacterial small subunit ribosomal RNA", at positions 524 to 776 of the family's 1533-position model. The record is from RNAcentral. Lineage: Bacteria; Pseudomonadati; Bacteroidota; Chitinophagia; Chitinophagales.